RNAcentral lists this ribosomal RNA (258 nucleotides) under uncultured bacterium. RNAcentral describes it as "partial 16S ribosomal RNA". It matches the Rfam family "Bacterial small subunit ribosomal RNA", at positions 524 to 776 of the family's 1533-position model. The record is from RNAcentral.
UACGUAGGCAGCAAGCGUUGUUCGGAAUUACUGGGCGUAAAGAGUGUGUAGGCGGUGCUCCAAGUCUGGUGUGAAAUCUCCCGGCUCAACUGGGAGGGUGCAUUAGAAACUGGAAUGCUAGAGGAUGGGAGAGGUAAGCGGAAUUCCUGGUGUAGCGGUGAAAAUGCGUAGAUAUCAGGAGGAACACCUGUGGUGUAGACAGCUUACUGGACCAUUUUCUGACGCUGAGACACGAAAAGCGUGGGGUAGCAAAACAGG